AUACGUAGGGGGCAAGCGUUAUCCGGAUUUACUGGGUGUAAAGGGAGCGUAGACGGAAGGCCAAGUCUGAUGUGAAAGCCCGCGGCUCAACUGCGGGACUGCAUUGGAAACUGGUCAUCUGGAGUGCAGGAGGGGUAAGCGGAAUUCCUAGUGUAGCGGUGAAAUGCGUAGAGAUUAGGAGGAACACCAAUCGCGAAGGCAGCAUACGAGGCAUCAUCUGACGCUGAUGCACGAAAGCGUGGGGAUCAAACAGGAUUAGAUACUCUGGUAGUCCACGCUGUAAACGAUGAAUACUAGGUGUGGGGGGACUGACCCCUUCCGUGCCGGAGUAAACACAAUAAGUAUUCCACCUGGGGAGUACGGCCGCAAGGUUGAAACUCAAAUGAAUUGGCGGGG
Molecule: ribosomal RNA, 396 nt
Filed under: uncultured bacterium
Lineage: Bacteria
Description: partial 16S ribosomal RNA
Rfam family: Bacterial small subunit ribosomal RNA
Source: RNAcentral